UUCUUCCUGAAAUUGG
Molecule: ribosomal RNA, 16 nt
Filed under: Cytauxzoon felis
Lineage: Eukaryota; Apicomplexa; Aconoidasida; Piroplasmida; Theileriidae
Description: partial large subunit ribosomal RNA
Source: RNAcentral